AGAAAUUUCCAAGUUCUCCACACACAGAUUUGCUUUUACAUCUUUGCUGUAACAAUGGAUUCCUCAGCUUUUACAUAAAGUCAGUUUUGUGCCUGAAAGACAUCGUGAGUUCGUGGAACACGCUUUACUACAUCCCACAAAUUCUUCCUGAAUUUCCUCCUAUCAAAAUGAAUCAAAAGCAGUUUUUUCCUCCCAGCUCUCAAUUGAUCUUGACACAGGUUUUGAGAAGUGGUUUACCCUGCUCGGCAAAGAACUUUCCAUCUAUUUGUGUGACCAGUUCUGCUUCUGUCUCUUCAUUUCUUCUAUGUCUCUACCAAUUUCAAUUCUUGGUCUGCAGGAAACUAUUCACAUUCAGACCAAGAAACUGCCUAGCCUAUCUUGUUUCCUUCAGUUUCCAUGUAUAGUCUUAUGCUUGAUUUAGGGAGUCAAGCAAUUGGGGGAAAAACUCUUUUCGGACUGAAGUGAAAUACUUUCACCCAUAACAAGCAGCUCUCAACUCGACUCCUUACCUUGAUGGAUAUGAAUGUGUUAUUUGUCACUGGAGAACCACAGUGUCACUUAAGAGCGGGCCCACAGGACUUGGAAAUUGCUUGGACAUUGAAAGUGGAGGAGAUACAGCAGCGUUCUUCAACUUUGAAAACUUGGAUAUAAAGGGCUGGAUAAACAGAACACCGGAUGAUCCUUUGGUCAGGCCGAACUCUGGGGUUGACAUCCAUCUCUAACAGGGACAAAGAAAGAGCCCACCAAUCAGUCAAGUAUUUACUGAGCUCUUGCCUUACGCCAGGCUAUCGGGAGCAAAACAAUAACAUCCAAGGACAAAACAAUCUCUACUUGCAAAGAACUUGCAUUCCAAUAGUGAAGAAAACACAUGUGACUGCACAGAAUGGGCAUUAAUUCAAUGCAAGAUAAUUAAAAACAAGAUAGUUUGGAAGGGUGGGUGCUAACUGUGUGUGGGGAGAGAGGGGAACCUGCAAAGACUUCCUGCAGAAAGUGGUGCUUUA
Antechinus flavipes (yellow-footed antechinus) is the source of this 1001-nucleotide long non-coding RNA. RefSeq lists it as uncharacterized. The transcript has 3 exons. The record is from RefSeq and is a predicted model, not a curated record. NCBI's taxonomy places the organism in Eukaryota, Metazoa, Chordata, Mammalia, Dasyuromorphia, Dasyuridae.